ACUUGUACACCCACCACCCAUGUACUCAACUACCUCCACCUCCCCCCCUCCACACCAUCUGAAAGUGUUUACUGAAAAUACCGAUUUACUUCAAUAUAUCGCAAUGUAAAGAAAACAUUACAUCAUGACCUUCAGUAGUUUCUGGGAUGAUUUGUGAAGUUUGUCUGGCCAGUCUGCCACUGCUCUGCUCGAACAUGUUACAAAGUUCUUCCAUCAAUUAUACGAUAGUUAUUGCUGUAUUCGGUUUUAGACAUAUACCGAAUCUUUUAUUCUCAAACAAUAUUGGUGUUCAGAUUUCAGCAGAACAGUUGUUUUUAUUAUGUAAUAUUCAUAUGAUGCUUUGGGCUAUUGGUUCAAAGCCACUUGGACUCGACGGUCUCGCUUCAUGCAGGUCUGGGUUCAAUCCCCGCCCGUCCAAGUGGUUGGGCACCAUUCCUCCCCCCCGUCCUAUCCCAAAUGCUUAUCCUGACCCACCUUCCUAGAGCUAUAUGGUGGUAAUGGCUUGCCGCUUUCUCCUGUUACGAUGGCUUAGUGGAGGGAGGUCCUGGCACGUGUUGAAUUCUAACCAGAGUUAGGUGUGCUCUUGAAGGUUGAGGGAGAACAAUAUAUUUGUAUGAAUAUUUAUUGAAAUAUAAAAUUGGUAAAAAAAACAUACAAAAUAAGAAUGUAUUAACAAAGCUACAAUGAUGUAGAUAAAUUAUGAUGUAAGACAUAAUGUUUAAUAACAAAUACCCUGAGAUAAGAGGUGUAGAGAUGAGUAUGGUGCAGGUGGGAGUGUGCACCACCUGGUGAGUGUAGUGUGCACGUAUGGUGCAGGUGGGAGUGUAGUGUGCACGUAUGGUGCAGGUGGGAGUGUAGUGUGCACAUAUGGUGCAGGUGGGAGUGUAGUGUGCACGUAUGGUGCAGGUGGGAGUGUAGUGUGCACGUAUGGUGCAGGUGGGAGUGUAGUGUGCACGUAUGGUGCAGGUGGGAGUGUAGUGUGCACGUAUGGUGCAGGUGGGAGUGUAGUGUGCACGUAUGGUGCAGGUGGGAGUGUAGUGUGCACGUAUGGUGCAGGUGGGAGUGUAGUGUGCACGUAUGGUGCAGGUGGGAGUGUAGUGUGCACGUAUGGUGCAGGUGGGAGUGUAGUGUGCACGUAUGGUGCAGGUGGGAGUGUAGUGUGCACGUAUGGUGCAGGUGGGAGUGUAGUGUGUGUAUGGUGCGCCUAGAUCAUCCAACAAGGCCCACACCGAUGACAUGGGUGCCUUCCGUGACACCUAAAUUCUCAAGUGUUCUGAAAGUGCUCUUGUAUAUCAUACACAACUGCCUAGCAUACAAAAUAUAACUAUUGAUGAAACUACAGGUUGUCCUAUACGAGACGACUGCUACUUACAUCCAACUAAACUCACUAUUAUAAACCGCUUAACACACGUGCGAAAAACACACCAGUAAUUACACACGUAUUACGUCGUCCAGGAAUGUGUUCCACUAAACUAACAACACUUGAUGAUAGCAAUCACUUGAUGAUAGCAAUGUUGAGCCGUUGUCGAAGUGUCGAGGCUUGUGCUUCUCCUCUUGGCCUUGUAUCCCACGGCUUUUUGCACAUCAUCAACCAAAAAUAUAAAAAAACGUAAGAUUUCUUCAUUUAAGGCGAUUACAAGCCAGUGUUGUGUAAGAGAGUAUUGGUUUUAAUCAAAGCUGGAGUGGAUGGUUAUCGUGGGCGUCGUGUGUUUACCAAGGUUACUGCGUCAUGGCAGGUGGUGUGACGUCUCUCCCUCCACCCUAGACAACCUCGCCCUCUGCUUCCUCCUCACUCACAGAAACAAUGCAGAGUAGAAAUAUAUGUGGCUGACGGGAACAGGGGAGUUGUGGCCGUCUGGAGGAGGGCAAGAGCAGUAGAGAGGCGA
This is a non-coding RNA of Procambarus clarkii (red swamp crayfish), 1886 nucleotides long. NCBI's taxonomy places the organism in Eukaryota, Metazoa, Arthropoda, Malacostraca, Decapoda, Cambaridae. The record is from RefSeq and is a predicted model, not a curated record.